Aphidius gifuensis is the source of this 1502-nucleotide long non-coding RNA. RefSeq lists it as uncharacterized. The transcript has 3 exons. The record is from RefSeq and is a predicted model, not a curated record. Lineage: Eukaryota; Metazoa; Arthropoda; Insecta; Hymenoptera; Braconidae.
AGAGAAGACGUGCAAACUCAGCAUCAUCUGGGGUACGUGUCUUACGUGCAGUCAUAAGUAACAUGCAAGAACGGGAAUUGCGAGUUCUUUUUUUGGCAAAAACGGGUAGCUGAAUUUGAAGGACGAAUAUAUCGACAGGUUUUGAGAAUUAUUCGUCCAAAGGUGAUGAUUGCUAAUGCACAAUAUCAUGAUCUUUCUCGAAAUCUGAUGCCAAUAGAACUGUCAAUCUAAAGGUCAACAGUGGUACAGAUUCUCCGUCCAACCCCAGCUGCACCCGUUGCACAAUUACUAGUUGUACCAACUGUUGAGUUACGUAAUAUUGGUGACAUGACCGGACCAGCUCGUUGCGUUGCUUUCAUUCGGUAUCCAUUUAAACGUGUUGUAUUUGGUAAUUACAGUUAUGACAGUGGUGCCAUUACUGAUGGAACUUAUCAUAUGUGUUGUCACGUUGCUGGGGCUCCAGAACAAUCACUACCUGCUGGAACACAUGUUGCUUUGAUUGGUGAUCUCCGUCGUAACAAUUAUGACACAUUAAUUUUACAUGUUGUUAGUAUGGCACAGAUUGAUGUCAUUGAUGGUUAAAUCAUGGAAGCAGCACGCCUUAGAAACGGUUUUAGAGUUAUUCCACGAGGUGCUCUAGUUCAGCAAGUUAAUGGAAUUCAACUUCAGCAAGUCAAUGCAAUUCAUCAACAUAAUGUCGUAGCACCACCACCACCAGCUGUUGUACCUGAACAACAAAUUGCUGAUUAACAAGACAAUGCAGAACAACAACAACAACAGUUAGUUGCACUCGUACCAGCUGCCGUAGUUGCACAAUCACAUGCUGUUCAGAGCAAAGUACUUCUAUUAUUCUAUUAUUAUUAUUUAAAUUAUAUUUUUUUGAUUAAACCCUAAUAUUAAUUUCUCAUUGUGCAAUCACAAGAAGAGCUGCUGAACAGCAAAUUGUUGCUCAACUACAAGUUAAUGCAGUUCAACAUCAACAACAAUUUGGUGUACUAGCACCAGCUGUCAUACCUGCUCAGCAACAUGCUGUUCAAGUACCUGUAAAUAAAAUAAACCAGGUCAUUAUUUUUUUCUUUUUUUUUCAAUAAAUUAAUAUUAAUUUUUGUUUUUUUUUUCAAAACAUUUCACUAGCAGCAUGAUUUUGCACAGCCAGACCAUUAUGAUGAUCAAAUUGACUGUGAUAUUUCUCCAGUUAAUUUUCGACGUGGUCAAAGACCAAGUGCAUCACCAAGUUAACCAAGCAUCAUUAUCACGUCAUCGACCAUUAAUUGAAUGUCGUAGGCAAGCUAUUAAAGCACAAUCUGAUUCAGAUAGUGGUUCUGAUGACAAUGGACAUUCUAUUGUCAUUCAAGAAAGUGACUCUGCUCCUGGAUUUGCACACGACUCUGAAGUUGAUUCAGAACCUGAGACUAAACGGUCUGAAAAGAUGGCAGAUACUUCUGAUGAUCAUUUAUCUGGUGGUGAUUAAUUAUUAUUUUAUUUUACUAUUACUUCUUACU